This 408-nucleotide ribosomal RNA is filed under the name uncultured bacterium. RNAcentral's name for it is "bacterial SSU rRNA". It matches the Rfam family "Bacterial small subunit ribosomal RNA", at positions 29 to 432 of the family's 1533-position model. The record is from RNAcentral.
AUUGAACGCUGGCGGCAUGCCUUACACAUGCAAGUCGAGCGCGAAAGGGGGGCAACCCCGAGUAGAGCGGCGGACGGGUGAGUAACACAUCGGAACGUGCCCAGUAGUGGGGGACAACCUCGAGAAAUCGAGGCUAAUACCGCAUACGACCCACGGGUGAAAGCGGGGGACCCAAAGGAAACUGAGGGCCUCGCGCUAUUGGAGCGGCCGAUGUCCGAUUAGCUAGUUGGCGGGGUAAGAGCCCACCAAGGCGACGAUCGGGAGCUGGUCUGAGAGGACGACCAGCCACACUGGGACUGAGACACGGCCCAGACUCCUACGGGAGGCAGCAGUGGGGAAUUUUGGACAAUGGGGGCAACCCUGAUCCAGCCAUGCCGCGUGCGGGAAGAAGGCCUUCGGUUGUAACCG